UUCAUUUUCUUUGGGUAAAUACUCAAUAGUGAAAUUACUAGAUCAUAUGGUAUUUCUAUUUUUAAGUUUUUGAGGAAACUCCAGACUGUUUUCCACAGUGGCUGCACCAGUUUGCAUUUCCACCAACAGUGCAUGAAGGUUCCUUUUUCUUCACAUCCUCGUUAACACUUGUUGUCUCUUGUUUUUUAUUUUAGCCAUUCUGACAGCUGUGAGGGGAUAUCUCCUUGUGGUCUUGAUUUGCAUUUCCCUGAUGAUUAGUGAUGUUGAGCAUCUCUUCAUGUGUCUGUUGGCCAUCCGUAUGUCUUCUUUGGAAAAAUGUCUGUUCAUGUCUUCUGCCUGUUUUUAAUUAGAUUAUUUGCUUUUUUCACGUUGAGUUGUAUAACUUCUUUACAUAUUUUGGAUAUUAACCCCUUAUUGAAUAUAUGAUUUACAAAUAUCUUCUCCCAUUUGGUGGGUUGUCUUUUUGUUUUGUUGAUGGUUUCUUUCCCUGUGAAAAAAUCUUUUUAUUUUGGUGUAGUCCCAAGAAUUUAAUUUUGCUUUUGUUGCCCUUGCCAAGGGAGAUGCAUCUAGAAAAAUGUUUGCUAUGGCUGAUGCCAAAGAAAUUACUGCCUAUGUUUUCUUCUAAGAAUUUUAUGGUUUUAGGUAUUGCACUUAGGACUUCAAUUCAUUUUGAGUUUAUUUUUGGGUAUGGUAUAAGAAAGUGAUCUAGUUUCAUUCUUUUGCUUGUAGCUGUCCAGGUUUCCUAGCACAAUUUGUGGAAGAGACUGUCUUUUUCUGAUUGUAUAUUCUUGUUUUCUUUAUUAUAGAUUAACUGACCAUACAAAUGUGGGUUUAUUUCUGGGCUUUCUGUUCUGCUCCAUGGAUCCACAUGCCCGUUUUUGUGCCAGUGCCAUACUGUUUUGAUUACUACAGCUUUGUAGUAUAUCUUGAAAUCUAGACUGUAUUUUUUCAGGAUAGAGGCUGAAUUCUAUAUUUACCUUUUUUUCAAGGCUAGCAUAGAGUCUAACAAAGGCAAUGAGAAAAUUUUCUUGAAUUGAUAGAUCAAUGGAUUUCCUCAAUUUACCAGAAUAUCCUUUGGCAGGAAAUCCUUUGUCCAAAAAGGAAGUGGUAAGAAGACAAAUUCAUAGUAGGGAUUUACUUAAAAUAAUCUUGUAAUGUAUAUUCUAAGUUUAUUAGAGAUCCAGCCAAUAAUUUAUACCUAGCUUUUGUUUUUGUGGUAUUGAAAAGGAAUUCUUGCAUACAGAAUAUAAAUUUGAAGCCCUUCAAUAUCUUAGAUCAACAAUGGAAAACAUUAUUAAUUAUUUCAUCUAUGACUAUUUAUUGUUCAGCAUGUGCUAGGCCUGUGUUAUUAGAGUCAAACAGGAAAAUAGACCAAUGUAUUUUAUUAAAAUUUUCACCAAUGACAGUAAAAUUGAGCUGGGGAAUACUGAACUUACUCAGUUAACCAGACAUGUGAUUUUGCAAGGGUUUCCUGGGAUAAUGUGGCAUAGUUCCCCAGAACAGUGAAGCUCCGACUCCGUUCAUCAUCAUGACUUGGACACUUCAAUCAACUAAUGGAAAUAAAAACCACCACACUUCCAGGAAAUCUAUUGAUUUCUGGGUCCUUUUGUUAUUCAUAACAGAGAUCAGAAAGUUUUUACACAUCCGGACAGAUUUUAUUCAUCAGUGUGUGUGUGUCAUAUGCAUGCCUAGAAGAAAGACUUGCCAGGUUUCAUCAACCAGAGCCUUUAAGGACCACGUGAGAUGUCACAUUUUCUUUUUAGGGGAAGCCUCGGUGUGUGCUGCCUUUGAUCUGAGCCUGAGAUGGCCUUGAAUUAGGGCAGAGUGGGAUGGACCACCAUUCAAAUUGCGUGGGUGAAUAUGGGGGGGGGGUCAGUGGUUACUUUGGUUUAAUAAUUUAAAGCCACAUUUUAGAAUAGUAGAAGGUGAUUUGCUUUGAAAAGCCUGUCCAGUUUGUAGAUGAGUGACAAAAUACGAAUCUCAGUGUGCCAAUAGUGUCAAUGUAUUUUGGGGUGAGAUUUGCUGCCUGGGCAAGAAAUAAGGGUAUCUCAUGCAUGGUCACGUCUCUAAAAAGUUCCACGAAAGUUUAUGUGAAAUAGGAAACGGUAGAAAAUAUUAAAGAAGCCUUUUCAAAAUAGGCUUUAGCAUACAGAUUGGAUCUUAACCUAAGUAAGUCUGGCAUCAGUCCUAUUAAAAUCAGGUUUUCCUUUUGGGUUCUAGCUAAUGAGAUGUGAACUGCAGAAAGACUAGUAAGUGUCCAAAGUCAAGUCAAACCACUUAUAGGGGUAGAUGGGGUAAAAACAAAAAAAAAUAGACAGUCUGCCAUAGGAGAAAUUUGUAUGGGACUUGGAAGGAGUGAGGUAGAGGCCAUUGUCAUGAUCAGUGGGUCACCAUUGCAGACAGAGCCCCAACUCCCUGACCUGCUGGCUGACCUUGUUGCGUGGGGCAGCAGUCAGAUCUGAACGGCUCUGGCUUCCCAUGAACCUCUUCUUCUGUCUCCAAUUUAUCCUCCCUGUCACCCAUGUCAUCAUGGCUGGAGGAAGCGGGGAGGGACAGAUGCCAUUCCCCUCUGUUCCUGGUCUCUGCCACUUCCACCCUGCUUCCCUUCCUGGGGGUUGGCCUGCUGACUUCUGGCCAAUUGUGUGCCAGGGGCAGAGGUAGCUGACUUGCACAGAUGCCUUGUCUGGCUCUCACGACGGUGGAACGGCCAUGCCCUGUAAUAAAGCCUGUAUUCCACGUCACUCAAGGCGGUGAUCUACUGCUCUGAUUGUACCCUGGCUGAAACAUGUGUUUGUUCCCUGUCUCUGAGAAGAGAAGGACUUGGAGGAAGAAGGCAGCCACUCUCCUCUGUGUCAGAGAUGACUGAACGGGAGUGUUGCUCUGGGACACAGUGAGAUAAUGGCAUUAGCCCUAAGCUGCAGUCCCUGGGAGACUUUGGGAGUGUCAGCUUUGGAAAACUUUGGAAAUAGGCAGAACUUGCUCUCUCUACAAGUGUCACAUUGCUGGAAGGUAGAAGAAUGAAACAGCUUCUCAGCAGCUCCUGAUGGGAGAUAGCUGUCGAAGAGCAGUGACCUGCGAGGCAGGAGCCCCAGCCCCCCAUCUACCACUGCGGGUGGUUAGACCUCUGGCAACUUGUCUAAUCUCUCUACCACCCAGGGAGGGAUGAAAAUAUUGGGGAAAUAGCGAUUCCUAUGUUGUUGGCUGUUCAGAUGGUUAAGCAGCCCGAUUUUUGUUUAAAUGCCAUGCAAUCCACAGUGUUACGCAAAAGUUAUUUUUAUUGAUGUGUCCAUUAAAAUAGUCAACUGCGUUCGUGUUUCUCUAUCUCUAGCAAUGCUGUGGAAGGAAAGAAAUCAAUGGGUUGGCAGUCAAAUUGUCCUCAAAACAACUCAUGAAAGCGAUGACUUUGCCACCUGGUGAGUGGCCAUCUGGUACUCUGACAGGCAUAGUAGGCAUCCCUCUGUCUCCCCCUCGUCAGGCCAGGCCCAGGUAUCAGCUAGACUGUGUACCAACAGGAAUCUGCAGGGAUCAGGAGGCAGGGAUGAACAUAAAUAGAUCCUUGUGUCGGCAGGAGAGAUCUUCACCACCUUAAAGCACCAGAAACGAUUUUUCUCACAGUCUGGCCUCACUCCUCGGCAGAAAGAAUGGGAUUUGUUAUUUUUACAUCUCUUAAGAAAUUUAAAGACCAAACUCACCAGGGCUCCUGCAUGGAAAUUUCGACCAGGACCUAUUUCUCAAAGACUCGUUCCCAUUGCGUUACCAUUUCAAAAGAGCUGAGUUCAUAAGCAUCUACUGUGCAGUCUUGAACUCAUCUCAUUUUGGAGGUGUUCUGGGAAAAGUUUGACAUUUAACGGGGAGAGCUGUGAUCGGAAGCUUUUAGGUCAGCACCCUGGAGCACGGAAUUGUUUUGGUGACUGUUUUGCAGGCAAGAUUUUGUAAAAAAAAAAAAAAAAAAUCACUCAUAUUCUUAAAGGCCCAUCUGUCCGGGGCAGGAGCAUAUUUCGCCUGUGAGGGUAGGCGCGAUGAUGUCCCAGCUGGCGUGAUAGUCACGGGAUGAGCUGUUUUCCAAAAUGCUGAGGGGGGCGGGGGGGCACACAGGGUGAGGGCAAUGGCUCCAAAGGCUUCAGGAGAAGUUGGGGAGAGGCCAGGGCCCUGGUGAGAUGCCCCUGGAGGCGGGGUGGCGAGAUGAGGGACCCAUCCCGUGAGUUUGAGGUGGCACCCUUCUCCGAACCAGAGUCCACACACUCAUACUGGGGCUCAGAUGUAGUUGUGGCCACUCCUCCAUGGUUCUGACAAGUCGGGGCUGGGGUGCUGGAGGGUCUUGAGGCCCUUGAUUGGCUGGAGGAGGGGCGGCGGGGGAUGUGGCCCGAGAGGAAGGACCAUUUUCCCUUCUUGUCCAGAGCUGCCCUGCUGAGCAGUUCCGCAGGGACAUCUAAAUCUAGGUGAGCCUGAGGCAGAAACUCUGAAGAGUUGUGUCCUCUACUUUGCUUGCGAUAGGGUCGUAGUAAGUGUUUACCAAUUGGAUUUGUUUACUCUGGUAUGAGGACGCUCCUAUGUCACCCCCCACGCCAUUGCAGUGGAUUUUAGUUUACUUCUGAUGACAGGAAUGCAGCUGGCCACCAGGUUUCCUGAUUAUUUUCCAUCACUCGAGACGCAUUUCACUUUGCAAUUUGAAAAAGCAGUUUGGUUUGGGGGGUGCGUUUCUCAUCCUGAAAUGCACAAUAUAAUGAAACAAACUUGCUUAACCUGCUGAGGAUGCACGUGAGCGGUCUGAGAUGGUGAAAAGGAGCUGGAAUAUCUCAUUUUUUCCCACCUGACCCCCCCACUGCUGACCCUCACCAGAUGGUCCCAUGGGGUGUGGGUGUAGGGGGCGACGAAGGAGGGGGAGGGAGAGGAGGAUAAAAAUGAAGAAGAAAGGAAAGAGGCAGCAAAGGAGAGGGGAGGAAAAAAUAGAUGAGAACACAGAGGGGUGGGGGCGCGUGGAUGGGAAGGGGGCAGAUACAGGUGAGUGUGACAGAGGCUACAGAGAGAAGGAUUUUGAAUGUUUCCAGCUCUGUAAAGAAAUUUAGCACACCAUACAACUCUUCUUUCUCCAAAAGCAAUCAAAUCAACAAACAAAUACACAAGAGCGUGACUCCCCCUUAGCCACACAUGGCCACUCCAAAUGCAGAGCAGAGUGGCCCAUGGCUGGGGAAGAUGAGGUAAGACAGGGCCCUGGGGCUGUGGAGGCUGUUGGCCCCUUUCCCGGGAACCUAAGACUCUCCCAGAGCCCACAGGGUGGCGGGACAGGGGACAAAAAUUCCUAUCUAGUCUCUGUGCAUUGGAGCUGGGCUCUCUGCCAAGAACGAGUUGUCUUCUCGGGCUGCUUCUUAAACAGAAUUGGGUUCUGGGACUAGUGACCCCGGGGGACGGGUGACCAGAACAUAGACCGGCUCUUGAGGAGUCCUAUGAGCAGAUGCAGAUUUGCCCAAAGUCAUCAAGCACUUACCGUGUGCCUGGCAGGGUCGCAAGUCCUCAGUGUGUUUUUAUCUCUUUGGACCUCCGCACCCCCACUCCGGGGACCCUUUGGCAGUGGCUGCUGCCCCGUGUUGAGCCCAAAUGGAGCUGAGACUGUAUUUGCCCGAUUUGGACUCUCUUGGUCCCCGAAUGGACACCAUGACCGCAGGGUUGCGGAUCUGGAAGGCAGGCUUUGGGGCUGCCUGGGGCUUGUAGCGCUUGACGUAUGCAGAUGAACCAGCAAAACGGUGUCCCGAGCAGGCUGCACACACUGUUAAGAAUCCUAACGCAGGAGUGAGCGGUCUUCUUGGCGUCGGUGGCUCACUUUGAACAGGGUUUGCCGUCAGAUUCCCGAGAGGGCAAAAUGUUAUCAGGAGAUCAAUCAACACGUCCACUCUGCUCUGGCCAAAGCAGAAAUCCCCAGUUUUGCAACAUCCUUGUUCCUUUUUCGCACGCAGGGGGAGAAGGUGGGAGCUUUGCUUAGUCUCACUCUGAUGGGAUGGGCUGUGACCGCUGGUGGUACCUGCCAUAUAAGAAAUGGCUGGGAAUGGUCAUGGAGCAUUUUCUUGAUGGUAUGACACAAGCCAAAAGACUGCCUUGGUCCACCGUCAGUCCGUUUCCGGGACACCGAUGAGCCAGACUGGGAGUCUCCAAAGGCCCUGGUUCUGAUGCUGAAUUCUGCUGGUUCCGUGGGCUACCUGCUCCUGAUUACUGGAUGCAGGGAUUCUCUCCUGUGUUCGGCUAUGAAGUCAUCUGAUAAAGCCCGGCUGCUUUACUGCCUGGCUGAUGCUGAUCUGUGGAGAGUUUUUAUUGCUUUACACGUCGGUGCUUAUCCCUCUGGGCGAUAAGAAACCAACAAGACUGUCUUGGUAGGAGGGGCCCAGAGCCACCAGCAUUGUUCUCCACCUAAACCACUGGGUGUGACAUGGGACUUUGGGUCACAGUUGGGGUCCAUGUGUUCUCUGCUUGGAGGCCAUGACCUCCUGUCCCUGGAGAUGAGGUCCUCCAGGGCAGAGGUGCAUAGAGCACUCUGGGGCAGCUGGAAAGGGGAGGCCACUGUGUUUUUUGUCCCGGGUCUUACCCCAGUGGCUGCUGGAGAGGGGCCUUGGAGGCAAGGAGAUGUGGGGCAGGUCCUGGCCAAGUGGGAAGAAGCAAAUUCACCUCCGAGGGGCCAGCCUCACCUCUCAGCCCUUCUCCUCCCCACCUUUCCCCCCUCUCUUCCCUGCUCAUCUGGGUCUCCCUCCUCCUCCUCCUUUUUUUCUGGCCUUUGUCCAACUUUCCAGGCACGUGAUUUCCGUGUGCUCCUCACCCUGUGAUAUGCCACCCUCUGUGAUAUCAGGGCCUGUUCCCCCCAGCUCCUGUGUUCUCAAGGGGCCCCUGGACCAGCCCCACUGCCAGCUGCUCUCUCCUAGCCUGUGGGCAGGCCAUUCAUUAGCCAAGAAGGCCUUCCAAGGACCCAUGGCUUCUUUGGAACUCACAACAAAACAGGUUCUGUAAGGAUUAGUGAGGCACCAGCUUUUAUGCAAUAACAGCUAAUCCCUUGUUUUCAUAACAAGGUUGGGAGAAUCUGUUUCUUGUUUCUCCAGCUUGUUUGUUGAUUCUAAAUAGCUGCAGUGCCCGUGGCAGGGAUGGUUAAACUCCAUCCAUGACUCAUUGGUACCCCUGUCUCUGCCUCACAGGUGUCACUGCUGUCCUUGGAGCAGACCGUCCUCUGAUCACUCAGCUGUCCUCGGUCCUGGAUGCAUGUGGAAAUCACCAGGAGCUUAAAAAAUUACUGAUGUCUAGUCCUGCCCCGAGGCUUCUGAUUUAAGUGGUUUGGAUGGUGGCCUGGGCAUUGAGAUUUUUAAAAUAUCUCCUGGUACUUCUCAUAUGCAACCAUGAAGAAAACCAUUGCUUUCUGUGAAUUCAGGAAAGACUGAAGGCACACACCGAAACACAUCUCAGUAGAAGUCUUCAGCGUGAAGUUUCCACCUCAGUGAUCUGAACCUUCAAUGCACACGUUGAGGCUGAGAGGCAAUUGUGAAUCCAGACAUAUUCACGGCUACACUUCAGAAGACAGUAGGAGCCCCAUGCACCCGUCUUGGCAAUCUGAGUUUGAGGUAAGUUAUGUAAUAGUGUCAACAGUCAGAUCUUGGGUGUGGGAUGGAGAGAGGAAGCUUCCAGAGUAUGUCAGUGGGCGGGUUGUUGAGGUCUAAAUCUCAAGCAGUCAUAUUAACUCACAGUUUAGCAGUAAGCAACAUGUGAGUUGGGAGCCUCAGGGAAAACUGUCGAAACAUGUGUCUGGAGUCUCCAAGUGCCACGAGGUAAUCAUUUGAAAACUUUUCACCCCCUAAAGAAACGCUCAUAGAGCUGGGAUCACAAAAGCAGACUUCUGAGAUAAAUUUGGAAAUAUUUCUUAUCUAGACCGGCAAACAAACAAACAACCAAACAAACACGAAGCCCAGGUGCACUAUGGGAUUCUAGAAGGACUUAGUUGCAGAGAUCCUUAAACCUGGAACUUUUAGGAAAUUAAUUGAGCACCAUUAAAUGUGGCUAUCUUUCCAGGGGGACUUUUUAAUGUUUAAGUCAUGGGGAGAGCUAGUUACUAAACCAGAAAGGUGGUGCUCUUUUAAGAACACCGACAAAAUCAGGAAAUUUAAGUUCUCAUCUGGGUGUUCCCAGAAGAGUCACUUAUUCUCUUUAGGUCAAAGUUUAUUCAUCUGUAAAACAAACAGGUUGGGCUAGAUCAGAGGAUAGAUUAAUCUCCCGAUUCAGCUCUAAUCAACGAGACUUCAGGGCUGAGGGGAAGUGUUCUGGGAAUGACGUCUGCCUUGGCCAGGCAGGAGCCUGUAAUUGAACGAGAACCAAGCCUUUAGCCUGGGAUCUUGGAUGUUCAGCCUCACCACUUACCCAGCUUUGUGACUGAGCUUCAAUUCCCCCACUUUCUGGUUCCCAAAUGCCACUCUGGUCUGAUGCCACAACCAACUGGGUGCAUUUAAAAAAUACUGAUUUCUGAAUUCCAAAAUUGGAAUUUCAACAGAUACAGUUCUUUAGUUCAACAGAUCCAGCUUGGAACAGGGAUCUGUGUUUCUAGAAACCUUUUCAGGUAACAGUGACUGGUAGCCUUAUUUCAAAAUCCCUGCUCUAACCAACACACACACACACACACACACACACACACACACACACUCAGGUUAUUACUCUUACACACUCCAUGUAUGUAAGGAAGUCCAUUUAAACACAGAAUUCUAAUUUGAAAAAGAGAGAAUUCCUUAGUCUCAUAAUAAAAUGAGUUUAUUCACUUAUGCCCCUAUCUCUGCUAAAGGGUUUGAAGUGCAGGAAGUCUCAGUUAGAAGUUCUUCAUCUAGGGACACCUGGGUGGCUCAGUCGGUUGAGCCUCCGACUUUGGCUCGGGUCAUGAUCUCGUGGCCCAUGGGUUCGAGCCCCGCAUUGGGCUCUGUGCUGACAGCUCAGAGCCUAGAGUCUGCUUCUGAUCCUGUGUCUCCCCUUCUGUCUGCCCCUCCCCCACUCGCUGUCUGUCUCUCUUUCUCAAAAAUAAAUAAACGUUAAAAAACAAAACAAAACAAAAAAAAGUUCUUCAUCUGACUUUCCAAAAGACUACAGGAAAGGCUUGCUUGGAGGAAUACAGUGGAGACGUCCGGCAUCUGGACAUUCCUUCUGCGUGAUGGCACACAUCUGGCUCUUUGGAAUGAGCAGGACGUUUCCUUUCCAGUUUCCCUCCAGAUGUCUGAGGAUGUGAAGAUACAGCCCAAGAGAUGUCCGCGGAAAUGCCACAUAAAGCAAGACGCUGUGCACUUAGGGAUUCUUGCAGUUUUGGGUGCAAUGUCUGAAACGAAGGAGGUUAAGAUCCUCGGCCAUGAAGAAUCCAGCACGUAUAUCUUUAGGGGACAGCAAAACAAACAAACAAACAAACAAAUCACGCCGGAGACAUGUCUGUUUCAUCAGUCAAGGACGCCUGUGGACACUAGGCGAGGGCCAAACCAAAUGCCUGCGCUCAGAAAAUACCCACUGGGCUGAGGAGGGGCAAGGGAGGAGGUGGUCAAAGAUAGCCUGGCGGCCCCUCUCCAAAACCCCAGCUUGGAAAUGCUUUGUUACAGGCAAGUGUCGGUGGCUUAGGUUCGAGUGGGUGAAACCUGGACCAAGAAGGUGGUCCUGCCGAGUGGAGGAGAUGAAAAGGUGCUGGUGCUCAGGCAAUUUCAGCGUUCUGGAGUAUUUUCUUUUAGUGCGUGCUAUUAGAAGAACUCCUGGCUGUAAGAGGCUGUGCAGAUAGGCAGAGAGCACCCUGGCUCGGCUCUCCGGGUUUUGUGCUCAGCCUUGCUGUUAACUCCCUGCAACGUGGGGGACUCACUCCACCUUCCGAGUCUGAGUCUCCGUUUCUCCUUAUCUUCUUCGGCAGAUUCCCUUUGCAAGAGGAAUUCCUGGCAGAGUUCUGCUUCUUUCCCCUCCUCCUUCUCCUUUGUCUGUAACCACGUUCUUGCUGAAUAAAUCCGUCCCUAUAUCCUCACGGACACAGGCCUGAAACCCUUUGAGAUGUACUAAUGGCAGGCAGAGUGUGUGUUUGGGGAGGGGGUGGCUGGGUAACGCUGCUGCGUGUAGAUUGCAAGGGGGACAAAAAAACCGUGCAGACAGAUGCUUUUCUCUUUCUGUUCUUCUCUGGUGGAGGUUUCCCCCAGGCUUGGCCUGGUUGGAGCAGAGCUGAGCAUCAGGACAUUCUGAGUUCAGAAGGCAAGAAGGAAAAUGCAAUCGGCAAGGAUUUUCUCUUGCUCACGCCCCAUCCUGAGUGCAGCCUGGUGGCGGGGACUGUAGUCUGAAGCAGCGCUUCCCAAAGUGUGCCCCAUCCCCUCCACCUGGUUAGCAGCCAACAUUGCCCAGAUUCAGAUUCAGGGAAGAAGUGUGGGUACAGCCGGGGUGGGGGGCAUUCUCAGUCAUGGUUCACUUCCCAGUGGAUUCUUGCUGUGUUUCUCAAUCACUUUUUUCAUUAUCACCUCCCUUAGGAGAAAAAUUAGCUUCGAUUAAAGUUCUGCCUGUUGAAGGAAAUGAAAUACUGAGAAGUAAGCUUUUGAUGGGUAGCAUUCACCUUUGGAAAGCCACAAACCGUGAUAAUAUCUGUGGUUUUUGGCCCCAGAGAAUUAAUUUGUGUCCCAUUAGGGGUGAUGUCUCCCACCUCGAGAGGGCAUGCUUUGGAGGUCCAAGCAGGUGUUUCAACAAAAUUGCCUGGUUUCCAGAGGCCAUACCUGGCGUCUCCUUCUUCUUUUCCUGGGACAGAUGGGAAACUGUCCCAGGAAAAGAAACUCAUUCCUAAUUUGCUUGGAACCUGAUCAGGUUUGUGAUAGAGAUAACAGAUAGAAGAAUUAUUAAUGUAUGGAGGGGGAUUUGGAAUAGGUUUUAAGAGGAAGGGUUCACAUUUUAGUUCUGCCUGUUGUUGGCUAGUUAACCUUAGGCAAGUUAUGUAACCUCCCUGGGCUUCACUUUCUCAAUCUGUAAAUUGGAAAUAGUAUGACCUCACCGGGUUUUUGUGACCAUUUAAUGAUAAAGUACAUGACAUGUGCUUAAGAGAGUGCCUGGCACCUAUUUAGCUUUUAUUGGAGUCCCCAUUUGUUCAUUUUCAUGAUUAAUUUUUAAUCCGAUUACCUAAUUUCAGGCAUGUGAAGUGAUAAUAAGUAAGUGUUCCCAAAUAACACUUUUAUGUUUUUG
Molecule: long non-coding RNA, 11187 nt
Organism: Panthera uncia (snow leopard)
Lineage: Eukaryota; Metazoa; Chordata; Mammalia; Carnivora; Felidae
Exons: 3
Source: RefSeq, a predicted model, not a curated record